RNAcentral lists this ribosomal RNA (253 nucleotides) under uncultured bacterium. Its description in RNAcentral is "partial 16S ribosomal RNA". It matches the Rfam family "Archaeal small subunit ribosomal RNA", at positions 474 to 727 of the family's 1478-position model. The record is from RNAcentral.
UACCAGCACCCCGAGUGGUUGGGACGAUUAUUGGGCCUAAAGCAUCCGUAGCCGGUCCUACAAGUCUUCCGUUAAAUCCACCUGCUUAACAGAUGGGCUGCGGAGGAUACUAUAAGACUAGGAGGCAGGAGAGGCAAGCGGUACUCAGUGGGUAGGGGUAAAAUCCGUUGAUCCAUUGAAGACCACCAGUGGCGAAGGCGGCUUGCCAGAAUGCGCUCGACGGUGAGGGAUGAAAGCUGGGGGAGCAAACCGG